RNAcentral lists this ribosomal RNA (886 nucleotides) under uncultured bacterium. Its description in RNAcentral is "bacterial SSU rRNA". It matches the Rfam family "Bacterial small subunit ribosomal RNA", at positions 9 to 907 of the family's 1533-position model. The record is from RNAcentral.
GAGUUUGAUCCUGGCUCAGAGCGAACGUUGGCAGUGUGUCUUAAGCAUGCAAGUCGAACGGCAGCAGGCCAUAUAGCAAUAUAUGGUGCUGGCGAGUGGCGAACUGGUGAGUAACACGUAAGAAUCUACCCUCUGGUGGGGGAUAACUCAUGGAAACAUGAGCUAAUACCGCAUGAAGCCGAAAGGUAAAAGGAGAAAUCCGCCAGUGGAUGAGCUUGCGUCCCAUUAGCUAGUUGGCAGGGUAAAGGCCUACCAAGGCUAUGAUGGGUAGCUGGCCUGAGAGGGUGGUCAGCCACACUGGGACUGAGAUACGGCCCAGACUCCUACGGGAGGCAGCAGCUAAGAAUCUUCCUCAAUGGGGGAGACCCUGAAGGAGCGACACUGCGUGCAGGAUGAAGGCCCUUUGGGUUGUAAACUGCUUUUGUAGGGGAGAAAUAACCGCAAGGGAUGAUAGUACCCUACGAAUAAGUCCCGGCUAACUACGUGCCAGCAGCCGCGGUAAAACGUAAGGGGCGAACGUUGCUCGGAAUUACUGGGCGUAAAGGGCCGGUAGGUGGCUUUAUAAGUCAGUUGUCAAAUACCUAUGCUCAACGUAGGAGAGGCGACUGAUACUGUAGAGCUUGAGUAGAGGAAGGGAUGACGGAAUACCCGGUGUAGGGGUGAAAUCUGUUGAUAUCGGGUAGAACACCGAUGGCGAAAGCGGUCAUCUAGCCUCAUACUGACACUCAACGGCGAAAGCCAGGGGAGCGAACGGGAUUAGAUACCCCGGUAGUCCUGGCCAUAAACGAUGCAUGCUANGUAUUGGCACGGCGUUGGUGAUAGUACCGUAGCUUACGCGUUAAGCAAGCCGCCUGGGGAGUAUGCUCCGCAGAGUGAAACUUAAAGG